Molecule: ribosomal RNA, 564 nt
Filed under: uncultured archaeon
Lineage: Archaea
Description: bacterial SSU rRNA
Rfam family: Archaeal small subunit ribosomal RNA
Source: RNAcentral
CUUGGUUGAUCCUGCCGGACCUGACUGCUAUCGGAUUGGUACUAAGCCAUGCGAGUCGUUGUAGCAAUACAAGGCGGACUGCUCAGUAACACGUAGUUAACUUAACCUAUGGAUGGGGAUAACCUCGGGAAACUGAGAAUAAUACCCAAUGGACCACAGUGCCUGGAAUGGCCUGUGGUUGAAAUGAUUUAUCGCCGUAGGAUAGGACUGCGGCCUGUCAGCUUGUUGGUGAGGUAAUGGCCCACCAAGGCUAUAACAGGUACGGGCUCUGAGAGGAGGGGCCCGGAGAUGGGUACUGAGACACGGACCCAGGCCCUAUGGGGCGCAGCAGGCGAGAAACCUUUGCAAUGUGCGAAAGCACGACAAGGUUAAUCCGAGUGUCUCCUGCUAAAGGAGUCUUUUGUCAGUUGUAGAAUCACUGGUGAAUAAGGGGUGGGCAAGUUCUGGUGUCAGCCGCCGCGGUAAAACCAGCACCUCGAGUGGUCAGGAGGUUUAUUGGGCCUAAAGCGUCCGUAGCCGGUUGCAUAAGUUUUCGGUUAAAUCUAUGCGCUUAACGUAUAGGCC